This is an RNA transcript of Quercus robur (English oak), 2332 nucleotides long. It is a transcript of the gene named alpha-galactosidase-like, with no coding region annotated. The transcript is spliced from 16 exons. The record is from RefSeq and is a predicted model, not a curated record. NCBI's taxonomy places the organism in Eukaryota, Viridiplantae, Streptophyta, Magnoliopsida, Fagales, Fagaceae.
CUUUGAGAAAGCCGUUGUCCAGCUGAGCUGUGUGGGUGGGACAAAUCUAAUAUUCCUUCUUUAAAUAAAUACUUCUUGUUAUGAAUCCAAUUCAUAAUUAAGCUCUUCGAUCUUAAUCACUGCCAAUUAAUCUCUCUCUUUUUCUUUGUUCCUUUUGUAUUUCAUCUUUGGGUAUGGCUGCUUAUCAUAUAUCUUUAUUAUUACGCGGAGGCUGGUCAUCAUCAGCUGUGGCUGUGGGCUUUGCUAUAUGCAUCCUUGUGCUAUCGAAUACCAGUACUUGUGGUGUUGCUGCUGCUCGUCAGAUGGAGGAGAUCCCGUCGCCGAUGCCGAGAAGUCUUCUGGCAAAUGAACUUGCUCCAACACCACCUAUGGGAUGGAAUAGUUGGAAUCACUUUGCCUGCCACAUCCAAGAGGAAUUGAUCAGGGAAACAGCGGAUGCAAUGGUGUCAACCGGACUUGCAGCACUGGGAUAUAAGUAUAUAAAUCUAGAUGAUUGCUGGGCUCAACUCAAUAGAGACUCUAAGGGAAAUUUGGUACCUAAGGCUUCAACGUUUCCCUCUGGAAUAAAGGCAUUAGCAGAUUAUGUCCAUAGUAAAGGGUUGAAACUUGGGAUCUAUUCUGAUGCUGGAAAUGAGACAUGCAGUAGACAAAUGCCCGGAUCACUAGGUUAUGAGGAACAAGAUGCAAAUACUUUUGCUUCCUGGAGGGUUGACUACUUGAAGUAUGAUAACUGUUAUAAUGAUGGCACAAGCCCAAAGGAAAGGUACCCAAAAAUGAGCAAAGCUUUAUUGAAUUCUGGAAGACCCAUCUUCUUCUCUCUAUGUGAAUGGGGACAAGAAGACCCUGCGACUUGGGCUGCAAGGAUCGGAAAUAGUUGGAGAACGACAGGAGAUAUUCAGGAUAGCUGGGAGAGCAUGAUAUCUCGUGCAGAUCAAAACGACAAAUGGGCAUCUUAUGCUGGACCAGGAGGAUGGAAUGAUCCUGAUAUGCUUGAAGUUGGAAAUGGAGGAAUGACAACAGAGGAGUACCGUGCACAUUUCAGUAUAUGGGCGUUAGCUAAGGCUCCUUUAUUGAUUGGAUGCGAUAUUCGAUCAAUGGACAAUAUGACAUUUGAAUUACUAAGCAACAAGGAAGUUAUUGCAGUUAAUCAAGAUAAACUUGGAGUUCAAGGGAAAAAGGUUAAGAAGGAUGGAGAUUUAGAGGACCUUCUAUUCCUUAGUGACGCUUCGCCGUCUAGCAACUUGGGGGCUUGGACUUGAACCUACAGAAGAAGCAUUAGCCCACAAGCUUACUACUCGUCAAUGAAAAUAAGGGGAAAUGUCUUGCUGCUGGUGAUGAGGUUGUCCAAUUUAGGGACAGGGUCCCUAUCUAGACUCGUCCACCUGCUGGCCACAUUGAAGCUCAUCCUUCCAGCCUCGUUGGAAAAAAGGAAGACUGUGUCUAAGAAACUGGACAUAGGUAACCUUUCUAGCCGUCAAGGUAAUAAGAAGCAGAAGGUUGAUUCUUCAAUGCCGUCCACCACUCUUAUCGUGGUUCUUAACCCUGCCGUUCCUACUGCUAAAUCUAUGGUCCCCAAGAUCGAUGCUUCCCUCACUCGUCUUGAUGCAAAACCGUCUAACCCUUCUCUUAAAGCCCUUCUUUUUGACGACGGUCCCUUGACUCUUCUAAGGAGUGAGAACCUAGCUUGGAAUAGUUUCAAGCAAGUGGUGAGAAAUGAGGACGUCUCCAUAUGCUACGAUAUGUCCAUCAAGGAAUUCGAGCAUUCCACAAUCCAUGAUCUCUUCAAGGCAAGUCGUGUAUUUGGAUAAAGAGAGGAUCAGGAUGAAGACGAAGAUAAGGGACAUGGAGGAGUCAAGUCGUAAGGUUGGGGAGAGGAGGAAGUUGGCGGAUGAGGUGAAAGAGUUGAAGAACCUUGCUGAGGAGUUGAAGGUGGACAUUGUCGAGAAGGAUACUUGUCUGGACCAUCUUUAGAAGCAGAAUGACGAGCUCAGGUCCUCUCUGAGUAAAUCUAAAGACGAGGUCAUCAAGGAAUUCAAGACAUCAGUUAGUUUACUGACCUCCUGGACAAGAAAUACGCUGCGAGCUUCGAGGACUUCUGUAUAGAUGCCGUCGAAGCUUUUCCUGGGGUGGAUUUUGAUUCCAUCAAGCUCUUCACUAUAGCUAAGAGUUCCUUGCCCCAGACUAGCUCAGAGGAUGUAAAUAUUGAAGACGAUGCCUUUACCCCUCAUCCCAUGAAGGACGACUGAAAGUCUGGGGGUGUUGCCCUUAGUGGUUUAUCCUAGUAGUUUAAUUUGUAAGCAAAAAUUUAUUUUCGUCAUCAUCAUUUUCUUUU